AACGAACGCUGGCGGCAUGCCUAACACAUGCAAGUCGAACGAGACCUUCGGGUCUAGUGGCGCACGGGUGCGUAACGCGUGGGAACCUGCCCUUAGGUUCGGAAUAACUCCCCGAAAGGGGUGCUAAUACCGGAUAAUGUCUUCGGACCAAAGAUUUAUCGCCUUUGGAUGGGCCCGCGUUGGAUUAGCUAGUUGGUAGGGUAAAAGCCUACCAAGGCGACGAUCCAUAGCUGGUCUGAGAGGAUGAUCAGCCACACUGGGACUGAGACACGGCCCAGACGAGAAGCGGAUGCAGCAGUGGGGAGUGUUGGAGGAUGGUCGUAAGGUUGUAACAGUAAUGCCGCGGGAAUGAGAAAGGCCUUAGGGGUGGAAAGCUCUCUGACACGCGAGGUGAAUGACGGGGCGGGGAGAAUAAGAAGAGCACACCGCGGUC
Molecule: ribosomal RNA, 433 nt
Filed under: uncultured bacterium
Lineage: Bacteria
Description: partial 16S ribosomal RNA
Rfam family: Bacterial small subunit ribosomal RNA
Source: RNAcentral